CAGCACUCUGCGUCCCUCCGUCACUUCACCUGCACCUCCACACAGUAAAGGGUCAGUUCCUUGAUGAGCAGCACUCUGUGUCCCUCCGUCACUUCACCUGCACGUCCACACAAUAAAGGGCCAGUCCCUUGAUGAGCAGCCCUCUGCGUCCCUCCGUCACUUCACCUGCACCUCCACACAGUAAAGGGCCAGUUCCCUUGAUGAGCAGCCCUCUGUGUCCCUCCAUGACUUCACCUGCACGUCCACACAGUAAAGGGUCAGUCCCUUGAUGGGCAGCACUCUGUGUCCCUCCGUCACUUCACCUGCACGUCCACACAGUAAAGGGCCAGUUCCCUUGAUGAGCAGCCCUCUGCGUCCCUCCAUGACUUCACCUGCACCUCCACACAGUAAAGGGUCAGUCCCUUGAUGAGCAGCACUCUGUGUCCCUCCGUCACUUCACCUGCACCUCCACACAGUAAAGGGUCAGUCCCUUGAUGAGCAGCCCUCUGCGUCCCUCCGUCACUUCACCUGCACCUCCACACAGUAAAGGGCCAGUUCCCUUGAUGAGCAGCCCUCUGCGUCCCUCCAUGACUUCACCUGCACGUCCACACAGUAAAGGGCCAGUUCCCUUGAUGAGCAGCCCUCUGCGUCCCUCCGUCACUUCACCUGCACCUCCACACAGUAAAGGGCCAGUCCCUUGAUGAGCAGCACUCUGUGUCCCUCCGUCACUUCACCUGCACGUCCACACAGUAAAGGGCCAGUCCCUUGAUGAGCAGCCCUCUGUGUCCCUCCAUGACUUCACCUGCACCUCCACACAGUAAAGGGUCAGUUCCCUUGAUGAGCAGCCCUCUGCGUCCCUCCAUGACUUCACCUGCACGUCCACUCAGUAAAGGGCCAGUCCCUUGAUGAGCAGCCCUCUGCGUCCCUCCGUCACUUCACCUGCACGUCCACACAGUAAAGGGCCAGUCCCUUGAUGAGCAGCCCUCUGUGUCCCUCCGUCGCUUCACCUGCACGUCCACACAAUAGAGGUCCAGUUCCCUUGAUGAGCAGCACUCUGCGUCCCUCUGUCGCUUCACCUGCACGUCCACACAGUAGAGGUCCAGUUCCCUGAACUCGUCAGCUUUUUGUAUUCUCCAUGCAACCUCUACCUGCACUCAACAAGCCUCUCCUGGAUUUUCAUAUCUGUGUUUGAGAUAGAAGUCCUUGUAAGGAUGAGUCAUCUCCUGUUAGACAGUAAAAAUACUUUUAUCGCCAUAGAUGCAGAAACAAUGGGGUAUGAAUUGAACAAUCGAAGUACACCCUGAAGGUUGUGGCAGAGAAAUGUGAGGUAGACCCGUUUGUGUCUGGGGCCUUCCUACCUUUCCACAUGGUACUGCAGAAUAAUGGAAGGUCGAUGGAUCAUCUUGUACAAUGUUUGGAAAUAUUGGCUCUCUCCUUUGAGAAAAAUAAAAGU
This 1432-nucleotide long non-coding RNA is filed under the name Marmota monax (woodchuck). Lineage: Eukaryota; Metazoa; Chordata; Mammalia; Rodentia; Sciuridae. The record is from RNAcentral.